RNAcentral lists this ribosomal RNA (497 nucleotides) under uncultured bacterium. RNAcentral's name for it is "partial 16S ribosomal RNA". It matches the Rfam family "Bacterial small subunit ribosomal RNA", at positions 28 to 507 of the family's 1533-position model. The record is from RNAcentral.
GACGAACGCUGGCGGCGUGCCUAAUACAUGCAAGUUGAGCGCUGAAGGUUGGUACUUGUACCCACUGGAUGAGCAGCGAACGGGUGAGUAACGCGUGGGGAAUCUGCCUUUGAGCGGGGGACAACAUUUGGAAACGAAUGCUAAUACCGCAUAAAAACUUUAAACACAAGUUUUAAGUUUGAAAGAUGCAAUUGCAUCACUCAAAGAUGAUCCCGCGUUGUAUUAGCUAGUUGGUGAGGUAAAGGCUCACCAAGGCGAUGAUACAUAGCCGACCUGAGAGGGUGGUUGGCCCCAUUGGGACUUAGACACGGCCCAAACUCCUACGGGAGGCAGCCGUAGGGAAUCUUCGGCAAUGGACGAAAGUCUGACCGGGCAACGCCGCGUGGGGUAAGAAGGUUUUCGGAUCGGAAAACUCUGUUGGUAGGGAAGAACGUAGGUGAGAGUGGAAAGCUCAUCACGUGACGGUAACUACCCAGAAAGCGACGGCUAACUACGUG